Alosa sapidissima (American shad) is the source of this 5208-nucleotide RNA transcript. RefSeq lists it as uncharacterized. The record is from RefSeq and is a predicted model, not a curated record. The transcript has 19 exons. Lineage: Eukaryota; Metazoa; Chordata; Actinopteri; Clupeiformes; Clupeidae.
AGUAAAAUAUUUUUAGCCAAGAAUCCAUUUGAUAUAUGGGAGACCUUAGAGAUGAGGAAAAACAUUGUUGGGUUUAGGCCUAGUUCUACCUCCGGUAGGGGUAUCUCAAAAACUAAAGCUCUUUCUGACCAUCUGUCACUAGCCUAAUUUGCAGGUCGUAUGUUUAGAACAGGAAAUCGCGUUGCCAGGACAACGUGACAUAUUCACUUACUGGCCUGGUUACGUUUAUGCUGUGACGCACUCGGAAGAUCAUGAACCGCGGGAAAGUUUUACACGUGAUCACAUCUACAGACAUUUUUGGCUGAAGCCGACAGUGGAUGCCAGCUCGGAAAAUCGAAUGGAAAUGGUAAGUUGUUAAAAUUUUGUCACUGGGUAAUUGAACAUUGUGGUUAAGGAGCAUUCAAUAUUAGUUUUAGCUCGUUAUAGUAGAUAUAAUGUCAACUGUAUUGCGUACAGAGGCGGUUCUGUUUUUAUUUCGCUGCGUAGCCCUGGUCCUGUAAUUCCAUUAACUCGAGCCUCGUGGACAUUUGCUAACUAUGCUAGAACUUGCAAUCACUGCUUAGUGCUCUGUGCUACGUGACAAAAACAUAUAAUUCCAUUAGCUGGAGCGUCGAGGAUAUCCGCUAACGAUGGUAGAAACUUCCAAACACUGCUUACAUGCGCUAUCCUUGCUACUUGGCAAAAUUGUUAAGCUUAACAUGUGAUUCCAUUAGCUGGAGCAUCGUGGAUAUUUGCUAACAAUGCUAUCGAUAGAAACUUCCAAACUCUGCUUAGGAGUAGUAGCCGUAGUAGUAAUAAUAUAUUUACCUUAUCUGCGCUGUCGUUGCUACGUGACAAAAUUGUUAUCAUGAACAUUAAUUUAAACAUGUCAUUGAAUAGUUAGAAAUCCUAAUCCUUUGAUCAUGUGCAGUUUUAAAAUAUCUGUAGAUCAUUUUUGCUGAAUUGGUGCUGUACUUGAUUAACAGAUCAUUAACAAUGACAACAAACAGGAAAGCCCCUGAAAGAGAUGCCCUUGAACAUGUGGUCAAGGCUAUUGACAAGACUGCACACUUGGAAGUGAAAUUCAUAAACUCUGUCAAAGGUCGAGGUGUGUUUGCCAAAUCCCACUUUGAAAAAGGAAACUUUGUGGUGGAGUACCGAGGCCAAUUAAUAAAAUCUGAAGAAUCUCAAAGGAGGAGGAGAGUAUAUCAUAGUCAAUGUGCAGUCUUCCUGUUCGAUUUCUACUGGCAAGAAAGAUUAUGGUGCAUUGAUGCAGCUCAAGAAGAUGGCAGCUUGGGAAGAUUAGUUAAUGAUGAGAACAUCCGUCCCAAUUGCAAAAUGAAAAAGCUCAUAGUAGAGGGGAAGCCACACCUCUGUCUUUUCGCCCUGAGGAACAUUAUUCCUGGAGAGGAGAUUACGUAUAAUUAUGGAGGAACUGACUGGCCAUGGAGGAAUAAGAUUGAAGAGGAACCAGUUGAGACAAUGUCUCCUGCAGUAGAGGCCCCUGAAACAUCUCCGCAGCUUUUAGAGGCCCCUGAAACAUCUCCGCAGCUUUUAGAGGCCCCUGAAACAUCUCCGCAGCUUGCAGUGCUAUCAUCAGUGUCCGAGAAAAAGAUUAAAGAGGAACCAGUUGAGACCAUGUCUCCUGCAGUAGAGGCCCCUGAAACAUCUCAGCAGCUUGCAGUGCUAUCAUCAGUGUCCAAGAAAAAGAUUGGAAAGAAACGUCUUAUGACCAAAUCUGCCGCAGUAGAGGCCCCUAAAACAUCUCAGCCGCCUGCAGUGCUUUCGACAGUGUCCAAGAAAAAGAUUGGAAAGAAACGUCUUAUGACCAAAUCUGCCGCAGUAGAGGCCCCUAAAACAUCUCAGCCGCUUGCAGUGCUUUCGACAGUGUCCAAGAAAAAGAUUGAAGAGGAACCAGUUGAGACCAUGUCUCCUGCAGUAGAGGCCCCUGAAACAUCUCCGCAGCUUUUAGAGGCACCUGAAACAUCUCCGCAGCUUGCAGUGCUAUCAUCAGUGUCCGAGAAAAAGAUUAAAGAGGAACCAGUUGAGACCAUGUCUCCUGCAGUAGAGGCCCCUGAAACAUCUCCGCAGCUUUUAGAGGCCCCUGAAACAUCUCCGCAGCUUGCAGUGCUAUCAUCAGUGUCCGAGAAAAAGAUUGGAAAGAAACGUCUUAUGACCAAAUCUGCCGCAGUAGAGGCCCCUAAAACAUCUCAGCCGCCUGCAGUGCUUUCGACAGUGUCCGAGAAAAAGAUCGAAGAGGAACCCGUUGUGACUAAUUCUACAGCAGUAGAGGCCCCUCAAACAUCCCAGCAGCCUGCAGUGCUUUCGUCAGUUUCCAAGAAAAAGAUUGGAGAGAAACGUACUGUGAUUGAGUCUGGACUAGCUGACCGUUAUGAAACACCUGAACACUGUGGUCUGCUUUCGCCCAAGAAAAAGAGAUGUAAUCUAAUUCAGGAGUCCUCAGACCAAGACCAACCUUAUGUCCCUAAACUGAGGAGGACCAAAAGCAUUCAGAUUAACAGACAAACCGAUUUUGAUUCCUAUGAGCUUUUUGAGACAUCAGAUGAAAGUGAAGAAGAAUAUGUUCCUGAUACAAGCGAGGAUUCAUCUGAUGAAACGGACACCAGUGAAGUUUUUGAAACAUCCAAUCAGAAGAAAAUUACAUUAAGGGGACGCUCACUCGUACGAAAGGGCAGUGCUUUGAAACGGAAAAGGCACCAUUCCAGAAGUGUAUCCUGUUGCCGAACACAUUCUUUUGGUGGACAGUCAUCAGAAACUUCAUACACUGAAGACCCUCAUGGAAGCUCGACACUGGUUUGUCCUGACAGUACUACUUCCCCCACUUCAGAUGUAGCUGACGACUUACUUACCGUACCUGCUGUCUGUAAAAAAGAGGAUGGAUCACGACAAUAUAACAAAAAACAGUACUGUUUAUACUGUAAAAAGGGAUUUAUAAAAAUGGCCAGGCAUUUAGAGCGUGCUCAUAAAAACGAGAAAGAAGUUGCACAGGCUGGGUCUUUUCCAAAAGGUUCUAAACAAAGAAGACUGCAUCUGGAACAUUUGAGAAAUAGAGGCAACUUCGCCCACAAUUCUGAGGUCUUAAAUACUGGUGUUGGAAAGCUUGUUCCUCGGAAACAACCAAAAGAUGAUUCUAAACCCAGAGAUUUUGAUCACUGUAUAUAUUGUCAAGGCUAUUUCACAAAGAAAGUUAUGUGGCGCCACAUGAUGAUAUGCAAGUUUAAGCCUAGUGGCCCUACGAAGCCUGGCAAAACACGGGUGCAAGCACUUUGUGCUUUUGCUGUACCACCACCACCUGGAGUCAAAGCAGAAUUCUGGAAGGUCCUAAACCAUAUGAUUCAAGAUGACGUUUACUUUGCAGUUAAAUCUGAUGUCUGGAUCAUGGAGUAUGGUGUGCAUUUGCAUAACAAGCAUGGAUAUGAUGUUGGCAAACAUGAAUAUAUCCGUCAGAAAAUGAGGGAACUGGGAAGGCUUUUGAUUUGUUCGAGGAAAACCACUCCCUUGAAGACCAUCGAAGAUCACAUGAAGCCUGAAAAUUUCAUGCAUGUUGUGCAAGCUGUGCAACUCGUGGCUGGCUUUGUCUCUGAAUCCAGCACCUACAAGCGUCCAAGUCUUGCACUAAAAAUUGGGCAUAGUCUGGUGAAGAUAUCGCUGCUUCUUGAAGCCCGUGCAAGUAUGCAAAACAACCAACCAGCAGCAAAAGAUGCUCGUAGGUUCCGCUCAGUGUACGAAGCCAGAUGGAACGAACUCAUUUCAGCUGCAUCACUGAGAACAAUGCAUGAAUCGAAAUGGAAUGUUCCUCAGUUGAUUCCGUUCACUAAGGAUGUUCAGAAACUCCACUCCUAUUUGGACAUGCAGCAGGAACAGUUUUACAACGAACUGUCCUCAGAGCCGUCUAAAAACACUUGGGUACAUCUGACUAAAAUCACUUUGACACAAGUCAUGAUGUUCAACCGACGUAGAACAGGAGAAGUUUCAAAAAUGCCCCUCUCUACCUAUUUUGCUCCAAAUCCAGUAGAUCUGCAGGAAGAUGUGGGUAUGGCGCUUUCAGAGCUAGAGAAAAAACUCUGUCAGCAUUUCAGGAGGUUGGAGAUACGAGGAAAAAGAGGAAGAAAGGUCCCUGUCCUCCUAACUCCAGAAAUGCAGAGAUCGUUGGACCUCCUUGUUGCCAAGCGACUUGAGUGUGGGAUUCUUAAGGAAAAUGGCUACCUAUUUGCCAGGCCGUCUGUAUUGACCUGCUACCGUGGUUCUGAUUGUAUCAGAGAUUUUGCCAAGGUCUGUGGUAUUGCAAACUACACAAGUCUCACUUCUACAAAACUGCGCAAGCAAACCGGAACACUCUCUCAAGUUCUCAACCUCAGUAAUACAGAGCUGGACCAAUUAGCCAAUUUCCUUGGCCAUGAUGUCAGAGUCCAUCGGCAAUUUUACAGGCUGCCUGAAGGGACCCUUCAACUUGCUAAAAUUAGCAAAGUCCUCUUGGCUCUUGAACAGGGGCGUUUGGCAGAAUUCAAAGGCAAAGGCCUGGAUGACAUCACAAUCGGUCCAGAAGAGAGUGUGAACCUUGACAGUGACCAUGAGGCACAGGAGAAUGUAGACAGUGACACUGAGGUACAGCGUGAGUCUGACACACAAGAAACCCAGUCUCAGAAGAGAGAGAGGAGUACAGAAGGGUUGAUGGAGAAAGAGGUCAAGGUUAAGUUGGAAAAGAUGAGUGAAGUAAUCUAUAACUAUGUCUUAGACAGGUUUGGAUGUGUGUGCCUUGAUCAAGAAUAGUUUUCUUCAUAUGUUUCCUUAAGAAAACUAGUUUUCUUUCCCUUUUGCUUGGAUGGGGGGUUUUGAACCUGGGUUGCCCGUUUGUGAGGCAAGUGCCUUGGCCAUUGUGCUACAGUGGAGUUGAAGAUCAGUGUAACUUAAGGUAAUAUGUGCAAUGUGAAUAGGUACACCCCAGACCAGUAGAGGGCAGCAAUGCAGAUUCUUGGUCAGUAGAAGCACAGCUGAAGAAGAGCAGACUAAGUUCCGUGGAGCUAGCGACAGUAAGCGACAGUACGCGACAAUAGCGGGCAAUAUGGCGGCGAAAAGCGUCAAAAUAAAGUACAAAAGCGGACACAGAGUGUUUUACGGCUAAAUGAACGGGAAAGCAGUUCAGAUGGAGACGACAGAAGAAAAAGUGUCCAGAAGAAAAAGUCCAAGACCAUUCACAAGCCACAGAAG